GCAGAGCACCGAGGAGAGCUGCUGACUUCAUGGACUGCGAGCGGGGUGAAGGGUAGCUCCAGGGUCCGCGGCCAAGAGCUCUCCCAAGGCUGAGUGCGGGCUGAGAAUGCGGCCGGAAGAAGAGUCGCGGCGUCCCCGGUGACGGUCCGGAGUUGCAAGGUCACAAGAAGUCCCUGAGAUGACCUGAUGCACAGGUCAAGAAGAAGCAACAUUCUAUUGGCCAAAAGACCAGUUUGUGCCACAUGAGUAGGUGUUUUCAUAUAAUGACAGUUAUGUUGACAUUUUGUUGAAAGACACCUGAAACUGUAAGAUGUAGCAAGUGACUCUUCACACUACAAAGAUGUCUUCAUUCCAAGCUCAAGGGUUUGUUUUCCUUGUUGCUAUCUGCUGUUUAUUCCUUACAAAGUACUGUCUCGGACUCUUUGAUGGUUGCUUUGAACCUGUAUUGAACGGAAAUGAUAAAUUAAGAAGAAACUUAGCACACAAGACAGAAUUCAAAAUUAAAACCGUGAUGUGACCACUGAGAAGACAUUUGGAAGCCCAUUCUUCAUGAACAGAAAAAGGCGACAGGACACCAACUGUUGAUGCCAUAGGUGCUGUGGUAAGUCUUGAAAAGCAGUGAGAACUGUUUGGAAUCUGCUUCUGUGCUUCCUAGGACUCUCCAGUCUAGUCCUUGGAGAAAGUUCUCAAUCUCCACCGACUGUGGAACGGACAAGUUGAAACCUGUAAAUCUCUGCUCACCCAACCAGGACACUAAUCCAUCUUGAUAUGACAAAUAUCAGUACUCAGUAGCAACUAGAAUUCAAUUAGUGACAGGACAUAGACAGUGUGAUACUAGUAAAUGUGUAUUGAAGCUUUUCUUCCAUUGGUCGAAUGUAAUUAUUGAAAUAGUAUUUAUUGAAGAGGUUUAUGGGCCUUCAGAUGUACAGAUUGUAAAACUUCCUUGAAGAUACAACAUACUGGUGUAAACUCUAUUUAUUGCAGUGCAUAAUGUUCAAAUGUCACAUGUAUAUUUUACAGUAAUAUAUAAGGCUAGAUAAAAAUGAGAAUUAUAUUUAAGAGUUUUUUUUCCAGAUAUUAGUAUCUUUGAACCUUUAGGACCAGUUUGUAUUUGAAUCUGAAAAGAUGAAAAUGUGUUUUCUAACAAGGGUUUUAAUUUUCCCUAGAUUUGAAUUUGCAUGCUUUCCUUUUGUGUGGGUUUAUUGCUACCCAGAUAUGAUUUGGUGUUAGACCAUGGUAAGAUUUAUAACAAGCAUAGGAUAUUUUAGACAGGUUAUGUAUUAUGUACAUUAUAUAUGUUUAUACAAUAGAAAGUUUGUGUUGUCUUUUCAGAAAGUUUAGAGUAUUGCCCUAACUAUGAUCGCAGCUUCCACUGCCAAAGGCUAAUGGCUUAUCUCCUAUUCAAAAUUGAUUUAGAUGUCUAGUGGGUUGGGUAGUGUAGAUACAAUGUGAGAAUGUAAAAGACAAUCUUUAGUGAUGCAGGGUGAUAAAGAUGCAGCUGAUAGUUUUCUGCCAGAUCUUGAAGCUUUACAAUGUAUUUUUUUCUUAAGGCCACAUAGUACAAUCUUCUUUGAGGUGGGUUUAUUUUUAAGUAACACUAACAACAAAUUGAGCAUUGCUAUUAAUUUUAAUCUGUU
Molecule: long non-coding RNA, 1637 nt
Filed under: Rattus norvegicus (Norway rat)
Lineage: Eukaryota; Metazoa; Chordata; Mammalia; Rodentia; Muridae
Description: long non-coding RNA NONRATT015323
Source: RNAcentral